AUUGAACGCUGGCGGCAGGCUUAACACAUGCAAGUCGAGCGGAGUGAGGUAGCUUGCUACUGAUCUUAGCGGCGGACGGGUGAGUAAUGCUUAGGAAUCUGCCUAUUAGUGGGGGACAACAUUUCGAAAGGAAUGCUAAUACCGCAUACGUCCUACGGGAGAAAGCAGGGGAUCUUCGGACCUUGCGCUAAUAGAUGAGCCUAAGUCGGAUUAGCUAGUUGGUGGGGUAAAGGCCUACCAAGGCGACGAUCUGUAGCGGGUCUGAGAGGAUGAUACGCCACACUGGGACUGAGACCCGGCCCAGACUCCUACGGGAGGCAGCAGUGGGGAAUAUUGGACAAUGGGCGCAAGCCUGAUCCAGCCAUGCCGCGUGUGUGAAGAAGGCCUUAUGGUUGUAAAGCACUUUAAGCGAGGAGGAGGCUACUUUAGUUAAUACCUAGAGAUAGUGGACGUUACUCGCAGAAUAAGCACCGGCUAACUCUGUGCCAGCCGCCGCCGUAA
RNAcentral lists this ribosomal RNA (501 nucleotides) under uncultured bacterium. RNAcentral's name for it is "partial 16S ribosomal RNA". It matches the Rfam family "Bacterial small subunit ribosomal RNA", at positions 30 to 523 of the family's 1533-position model. The record is from RNAcentral.